This 252-nucleotide ribosomal RNA is filed under the name uncultured bacterium. RNAcentral's name for it is "partial 16S ribosomal RNA". It matches the Rfam family "Bacterial small subunit ribosomal RNA", at positions 525 to 776 of the family's 1533-position model. The record is from RNAcentral.
ACAGAGGGUGCGAGCGUUAAUCGGAAUUACUGGGCGUAAAGCGCACGUAGGUGGCUGUGUAAGUCGGGUGUGAAAUCCCCGGGCUCAACCUGGGAACUGCAUUCGAGACUGCAUGGCUGGAGUACGGAAGAGGAAGGCGGAAUUCCCGGUGUAGCGGUGAAAUGCGUAGAUAUCGGGAGGAACAUCAGUGGCGAAGGCGGCCUUCUGGUCCAGUACUGACACUCAAGUGCGAAAGCGUGGGGAGCAAACAGG